AGAUGCAUCUUGUUCUAUUUCUUCAGCAUAUUCAUAUCAGAACCAGAAACAAAAUGGUGGUCAAAUAUCUUCAAUGUAAGGUGUCCUGUUGAACCCUGUUUCUGGCAUGUGAUUGCUGCUGUCUGUGUAAAAGUGAGUCCAUUAAGUGAAAGUGAGUCAUUAAUGUACAUAAUUUUUGACAUAUGAUAUGUUCAUGAAGAGAAAAUCUUUAAAUAAAUUUAUGGUGACUUGAGUAACACCGGUAUCACUCAGAUUACAAUUCUACCUUGACAGGUAAGUUUGUAUUUAGACUAUAAAAUACUUAUUUAGCCUUGAGAAUUGAAAGGUCAGUUUAUCCCAUUCAUACAAUAGAAGUUUACCUUUAAGGGUCUGAACGGGGUUUACAGAAUAGAGAAUACAUGUAAUGGCAAUAAAAAAUAGAAAAUAGAGAAAAUGAACAACAAAAUAAAGAAUAGAGAAUA
Molecule: long non-coding RNA, 461 nt
Filed under: Mytilus galloprovincialis (Mediterranean mussel)
Lineage: Eukaryota; Metazoa; Mollusca; Bivalvia; Mytilida; Mytilidae
Source: RNAcentral